This 3051-nucleotide long non-coding RNA is filed under the name Homo sapiens (human). RNAcentral's name for it is "HSALNT0295476". The record is from RNAcentral. Lineage: Eukaryota; Metazoa; Chordata; Mammalia; Primates; Hominidae.
UUCAAGCCAUCCUCCUGCCUAGGCGUCUUGAGUAGCUGGGACUACAGGCACACACUAUCACGCCCAAUAUUUUUGUCUUAAGUUUCUAAGGAGUCCCAACACUGCACAGUAGCUGUUCAAUACAUUUUGAGUGAAUGAUUAAAAACAAGCUUGGUGUUGAUUUUAUUGGUACAAUUUAUAUUUACAUAUGUAAUGUUUAUAUUAUAUGCUUUUUAUAUAUUUAUAUGUGUGUAUGUAUAUAAUUGGCACCAACGUAGCAUUGCUGUGCUUAAGUGCCUGAGAUGUAUCUCAAAUGAAUAGACCUGAGGAGAGAAGCUUGUGUCAUUAGCUCUGACCCUGCAGCACUAAUCCUGGUUUACCCCUUUAUUUCACUCACCCUGAGCACAUCAAUUAAUUUGGUGAAAGAGCUUACACUUUAAGUGUAAGCUUAACAUCUCACUGAAAUAGUUCAUUCCAAAGAAAGAGCUAAUUCUAACCUCUCACAAGUGCUUGAGCAUUUGCAUAAGUGAAAUUUCACUGUGUGAGUUUCACCCAACACCACCUCUGCUCCAGCUCCUGCUACUCUGCUGCUCAUACUGUGGAACUCCACAGGUGGAGUAGAAGAUCAUCAGAGAGAGUUUUAUUUGCAGUAAAUUUGGUGUGCAACAGGCCAAGCAACGAGGAGUCAAGGUGAGGCAGAAGAACAGCAGAGGGAAGUGGAAGUUGGAUAAAGGGUGAACUGAGUAGGAGCGGAAGCAGGAUAAAGAGGUGGGUGAGCAAGAAGCAAGAUAAGCAGAAGUUGAGCAGCGAAAACAAAAGUGAGAUGGAGUAGUGAGUAAAAGUUUAUGGCUGGCAGGAUCCAGAACAAACCAGUAAAAGGCAUGCAUAUGACAGAGAAAAAGUAGCCUUAAAAUGACCCCGUAUGAUAAUCAGCUCAUUAAAGCUAAUGCAUAUGGACUGCAUAUCAUGGGUGUACUUAAAAUUAUGGGAUGGAGGUGAUGCGGAAGCACACAGGGGCCAAGUAACUAAGCAACCCACCUAUCAAUCAGAAGGCACAUGCUGGGUAGAGAUUAGGCAGCCCCAGGAAGAGGAGAAAAAAGAAAAAAAAAAAAACAUGUAAAAAGACCCAAAGCCCAAAGUUCACCAAACUGACGCUGAUCUCAUUUUGCAGAAGUCAGCCCGUUCUCCCCUCUCUGAGAGUGUUACUGUGCUUAAUAAGUCUCUUGCUGCUUUGCUACAUGUGUGUGUGUCACUUCCAAUUCUUUGUUAAAGACACCAAGAACCUGGGACUUCACAACACCAGCCGGUAACAAAGAUCUCUGUAAGACACAAAAGUUGGAUGACAGUCGUUUUGAUUCUUGGACUUUACUAGAGACUCCAAAGACGCAUCUGAGGAGAAAAGCUCUGGGUCCCUGGGAUGACUGUGCCACUCGACAUAGCCUCCUGGAGUGGCCAAAGAGAGUGUGGAUAAGAAAAGAAAUAUUGGAGUGAACUUUCACUCACUCCCACUUCUGUAGGUUUCUUAAAAUAUAUGGGUUUAGAAGCAAGAUACUUGGCGUUUUCAAAUGACUCAAAAGAGAUGUAGAUGAAGAGAAGUUCGGUCAUCCCACAGAUCUUCCGGAGUAACCUGGACACAUCCCUAAAUCUCUAGCUCCUGGGUCUUCGAAAGCCUGUUUGCCUCAGGGUUGGGAGGAAAGGGUUUGGAAAGUACCAAGGCAAGGGUUGGCAAAAAGAUUACCUCAUCAGUGAGGAAAUGAAAUUUCCAGAAGUUUUCGCCAGAUCUGGGACCAGAGACAAAUGCUGGAUGAAUUUCCUAUGCAAACCUCUUUUAGAACCACCGCUUCAAAGGCCGUCCAGAGACUUCAAAUUAGAUCUGGUGAAACUGCUCCCGGUAGGGGAUUGGUAGUUCAGCGGUAGAGGUUUUUGUCUCCCACGCCGGCGACUCCGGUACGACUCCCGGCCAUGCAGGACUUCUUACCCUUCCGGCAGGAAGGGCUACUACGUUUCUACCCAACGAAGUUAUUAUAUUAUACAGGCUGUACUGCAUUUAUGGACCUUGGUCGUGGCAGCUAGAAGCUAACCUGAGGGGCGUGCCACCUCUGGAGCAUUCUCUGUGCUCGAACUAAUAAUCCCGGAAUUUACGUUCCUGUGCUCGAAGCCUGUCCUUGAAAGUGGGGAGUGUUUCCGGUGGGUUGCUGCAGUUUUAAAUACUGGGAAUUAAAACCUUUGCUACUUUCAUCUAGUCUCCCGGCAAACCCCUGGGUAACCCAAAGCCCAUCAGAGGGAUUCGCGUGCUGGGCUUUCCGCUACGUUAGGCCACGUCUCACUAUGGAGCGAGGAUCAAGAAGGUCCGGGAAGGAGAGAAGCUGCGGGGUCCAGGGAGACUCUUCGGCGGUUGGUCGGAGAGGUUUCAGCGGCCCAAGGAAAAGGGAAGCGUGUGGGAAUCUAUCCGCGUAGAGAUGAGGGGCGCGGCGGAGACAGUCCCACGCAGAGGUAUGCCCAAACACCGAGUUACUUAACCUCCUCAACCACCUUGGCAUCCGCGCCUUCCGUGGGCCCGUCGGUCUUCCGGGAGAGAUUCUGUGUCCCUGGUAUUGUGUGUCAACAGGUGUUAGCCUGAUAGUUAUAUUUUUAAUGAGAGAAAACGAACUACAGAAUUUGCGAGUUUUGCUUUUUUUCUGGUUUUGCUUUAUACCUCUUGGAUUCUCCUUCCAAAGGAUUCCAAUCUGAGGGGCAUUGAGGUGUGACUAUGGUAGACAAGGGGUGGUGAAUUUUCAUCCAAAAAUCUUUGGCGGAUUCCCUUGCUCUCCCGCUCCCCAGUCUAAGAGCAGUUUAAAACAGAAGAUCAGAAACAUUUGGAGAGUGUUUUUUUCUCUGCGUUCUAAUGAUAAACUUGAUUUAUUCAAUUCCAAAAGUUUCCUUAUUCUGAGGUUGUCUUUCCAUAUUUUGAGUAUAAAACCAUGGCCAUACUAUAUGUUGGACCCACGAAGGUUCUUCUCUUCACUUGUUUAUUUGUAAAGUCUCUUUGUAAUCUGAGAAUUUCUUGAGUAAACUGGGAACUGUUACACAUAA